Molecule: long non-coding RNA, 376 nt
Filed under: Cotesia glomerata
Lineage: Eukaryota; Metazoa; Arthropoda; Insecta; Hymenoptera; Braconidae
Description: uncharacterized LOC123266680, transcript variant X1
Source: RNAcentral
CUAGUGUUAAGAUUAUUUAAACUGCAAAAAAAGAAUGAUAUACAAUAUCUUCAGAGUUUAAAUGCCUCUUCACCUAAGAAGACGUUACCAUCGAUAUGGAGGAAUACUCAGGAUCCUGACAUAUCGGUCGUAGAUGUCUACGACAUUGCAUCUGAGAUAAGGAAAAGAAUGCGAAAAAUUGAUAGAUUCUUUCGGAACUGAUGCUGUUACUGGACUCAUGCCAAAAGUUAUUAAUGCAUUGGAGUUAUUAGAAAACCUUGCUACAAAAAAUGAACGAGAAAUCACAACUGUGCAAGAAUUGACCGCACGAAUUUCGCAAUUGGAAAAUGAUAAAAUCGGAAAAGCAGAAGAUCGGCAGAGAUUUGAGAAAGUAAGU